CGGGGUGCAGCAGGCGCGAAACCUUUGCAAUACACGAAAGUGUGACAGGGCUAUCCCGAGUGCCAUCCGCUGAGGAAGGCUUUUACCCAGUCUAGAACGCUGGGGGAAUAAGGAGAGGGCAAGUCUGGUGUCAGCCGCCGCGGUAAUACCAGCUCUCCGAGUGGUGUGGAUGUUUAUUGGGCCUAAAGCAUCCGUAGCUGGCUAGGUAAGUCCCUUGUUAAAUCCACCGAAUUAAUCGUUGGAUCGCGGGGGAUACUGCUUGGCUAGGGGACGAGAGAGGCAGACGGUAUUUUCGGGGUAGGGGUGAAAUCCUAUAAUCCCGGGAAGACCACCAGUGGCGAAGGCUGUCUGCUAGAACGCGCCCGACGGUGAGGGAUGAAAGCUGGGGGAGCGAACCGGAUUAGAUACCCGGGUAGUCCCAGCUGUAAACGAUGCAGACUAGGUGUUUGGACGGCCACGUGCCGUUCUAGUGCCGCAGGGAAGCUGUUAAGUCUGCCGCCUGGGGAGUACGAUCGCAAGAUUGAAACUUAAAGGAAUUGGCGGGGGAGCAC
RNAcentral lists this ribosomal RNA (551 nucleotides) under uncultured archaeon. RNAcentral describes it as "bacterial SSU rRNA". It matches the Rfam family "Archaeal small subunit ribosomal RNA", at positions 326 to 879 of the family's 1478-position model. The record is from RNAcentral.